RNAcentral lists this ribosomal RNA (253 nucleotides) under uncultured bacterium. Its description in RNAcentral is "partial 16S ribosomal RNA". It matches the Rfam family "Bacterial small subunit ribosomal RNA", at positions 524 to 776 of the family's 1533-position model. The record is from RNAcentral.
UACAGAGGUGGCAAGCGUUGUUCGGAAUUACUGGGCGUAAAGGGCGAGUAGGUGGCCAUCUAAGUCAGACGUGAAAUCCCCCGGCUUAACCUGGGAACUGCGUCUGAUACUGGACGGCUAGAGUUUGGGAGAGGGAUGCAGAAUUCCAGGUGUAGCGGUGAAAUGCGUAGAUAUCGGAAGGAACAUCAGUGGCGAAAGCGGCUUCCUGGACCAGUACCGACGUUCAGGCACGAAAGCGUGGGGAGCAAACAGG